AAAACAUGUCUAUAUGAAUUAAAUAUUUAGUUUGACCUGUCCACUGAAAUUUUAAAGGGCUGCGGUAAUUUGACCGUGCAAAGGUAGCAUAAUCAAUAGUCUUUUAAUUGAUGGCUUGAAUGAAAGGUUUGACGGAAGAGAAACUGUCUUUUUGGUUUAUUUUGAAUUUAACUUUUGUGUGAAAAGGCAUUAAUAAUUUAGAGGGACGAUAAGACCCUAUAAAACUUUACAUGUAGUAUAUUUUUUUUCAAAAUUGGUUAGUAAAUGUUAGUUGAUAAGUUUUGUUUUGCUGGGGCGGCAGGAAUAUAAGUUUAACUGUUUUAUAUUUAAAAUGCUAUAAGUAGAGAAUGAUCCUUUAUUAAGGAAAUAAGAGUAAGUUACUUUAGGGAUAACAGCAUAAUUUUUUCUAAGAGUUCUUAUUGAAGGAAGUAGUUGUGACCUCGAUGUUGAAUUAAAUUUUCCCUUAGGUGCAGGAGUUUAAUGGGAGGGUCUGUUCGACCUUUAAAUAUUUACAUGAUUUGAGUUCAAACCGGUGUGAGCCAGGU
Molecule: ribosomal RNA, 545 nt
Filed under: Synalpheus sp. 1 HA-2021b
Lineage: Eukaryota; Metazoa; Arthropoda; Malacostraca; Decapoda; Alpheidae
Description: partial large subunit ribosomal RNA
Rfam family: Bacterial large subunit ribosomal RNA
Source: RNAcentral